AGCCUAUUAGCUCAAAAAGGCAGAGCAAUGUGUUGUUGCACAUGGAUGUGGGUUCGAAUCCUACAUAGGCUG
This 72-nucleotide transfer RNA is filed under the name Spinacia oleracea (spinach). It matches the Rfam family "tRNA". Rfam says of the family: Transfer RNA (tRNA) molecules are approximately 80 nucleotides in length. Their secondary structure includes four short double-helical elements and three loops (D, anti-codon, and T loops). Further hydrogen bonds mediate the characteristic L-shaped molecular structure. tRNAs have two regions of fundamental functional importance: the anti-codon, which is responsible for specific mRNA codon recognition, and the 3' end, to which the tRNAs corresponding amino acid is attached (by aminoacyl-tRNA synthetases). tRNAs cope with the degeneracy of the genetic code in two manners: having more than one tRNA (with a specific anti-codon) for a particular amino acid; and 'wobble' base-pairing, i.e. permitting non-standard base-pairing at the 3rd anti-codon position. Lineage: Eukaryota; Viridiplantae; Streptophyta; Magnoliopsida; Caryophyllales; Amaranthaceae. The record is from Rfam by way of RNAcentral.